Long non-coding RNA from Daphnia pulex (common water flea), 2078 nucleotides. RefSeq lists it as uncharacterized. The transcript is spliced from 15 exons. NCBI's taxonomy places the organism in Eukaryota, Metazoa, Arthropoda, Branchiopoda, Diplostraca, Daphniidae. The record is from RefSeq and is a predicted model, not a curated record.
CAUCGGGCGGUAGAAAAAUUAAACCGUAAAACGCAGUCUGACGGUUAGGGAACGAAGUUUACAUAUGGAAGUGCCAACGUCACUUCUUUUCAUUUCAAACCAAUCCUUCAAAUGCUGAACAUGUUGAUAUCUUCAAUGCCAGGAGGGAUGAUGGCAGAUGAGUGCAAGGAUCGGAAACAAUUUUUGAAGGGCUGUGAGACAAAUCAUGCAUUUAGGCUACAUUGGUGCCUUGAAGACGACUAGUUUGGAAGAUUGAUUUCUGACCUCACUUGGUUUUGCACCGGUUGGUUGUAACCUAUCUUCCAGAAUUCGCUGAUUUGAAUGUAAUCGAGGAAUAAAGAGAAGAUUCCAUGCCAAGACAUUUCGUGGAGGAUGGAUGUCGACUGUUACGGCUAUGGAGCCAAUGGAGGAGGCAGUGGGUGUGCAUUACACUAGAUGAGAUACAAUCAUGAAGGUGUUUGCGAUUCUUAGGUAAAUGGACAGUUUUAAUGGUUUCUUUUGGAUUUUUGUGAUGAACAACAGUUUCCUGUGUUUCUGACAACCAUGAAGACCCACUCGAGUCCCUGAUAAUUCAGGCUUUUUAAUAUCAUUUAAUCGGCUGUAAACAAAUAUUGACGAUUUGUUUGGUUCGUUUAUUCAGAUUGUCUUGUUUAACAACCGCCGUCGAUUGUUGAGCUACUGGGCCAAAAACUGGAGUUUCAUUUUCUUUCGUUUCGAGAUGCUGGUGAUUUCAUGAUCUACGUAGUAAUGUGGUAUUGCUUCUUGGUCAACGUCAUUGGAAUCCGAGGAGUUCAUUUUACACAAGAUGGACUGGUUUAUUGUUCGGUGUUUUUUUUUUUUGGCGCCAUCUUCAUAGGAUAUUAGGUUGCUCGGUCGGUUGUCUUGGAGUACUUGGCGAGCAUGUUAUUGGGUCUGACUACGGUCUAUUGGAUUGUUGGAGAUUUUGUUUAUAUACGUUUUCUUGAUAAAUCCCUGUUGUCGAGGGAUAUAUGCGGUGAGACGCUGGAUCUAAUAGUGUCGGCUUAAGGAGUCCUGAGGUGUGUUAAUUUUCGAUCCGUUGCUUAACGUCUGUGGGAUGGUAUGGAGCUAUGAAACUUGCACAAGUUUGUCGCAGUUUUGAAGGUCUUUGGAUUUGGAGCGAAGUUUAUUGUAAAGUUCCGAUACAGCAGUAUGGACGAAAAUGUUACUGGGAAAUUAGUGUCAUUAUGGGAGAAAUUAGUAACAAUAGAUAGACUUAUGAUCUGUGUUUGAUUCUGUUUCCUUUUCCAAUUGCAUAAUACAACAUGAUCACUAUGUGUGUAUAAUCUGCCUGCUUAUUUGAUUAUUUCAUUUCUAAAACUGCUGUUCUAACAAGAUGCUUGAGUUGGUUGUAACCUAUAAACUCAAGUUUAAAGCUAACUUAGGCUGUUAUGCACCUAAAUUUUCUAAUGGUACAUGUGAUAUUCAUUUAAUUAUAUGCCCAGUCUCUGUCAGAUUGGGUUGUGUGGAAAGGAUUUUUCACCUCCACCAUCGUUUAUGAUUGACUUUACAUUUGCUGUUGCCUUGUAGUAUGUAGCCUAAUAGAAUGCUACAAUGAAUAGGAACACAUUCUGAAUAACUGGCAGGUCUACCUUACCAACACUGGGUGUUAUCACUUUCAGCAAUCUAUUCUCCAGCACUGUUGCCCAGGUGCUGAAACGUCUGGAAUCACUUGCAGACAACAUGAACGGAUAUCUGUCUUGAUUGCCUUCUCCUCAGUGUAGAAGUUGAAGUGGCGUUCAAUAUCACCUUGGGGAUUUCGUCUUUUUUGAUGUGUGAUGCUGCGUGUGGCUUUUCGAUGAAAUUUUUCAUGGAGAAUAUUACGAAGGAACAGAAAAGGAAACAGUAGCAUACAAGUAGCCUAUCAUCACUAUACCACCAACUCUUUUAUUAAAAAUCUUCAUUCUGCUGAAUGCAUCAUACAGUUAAUACAGUUUCUAUUGAUCUCGGUAGGUCACUACCCCAGUGUGGACAUGUUUGUUUUUCUGAACAUGUUUUUCAGCAAAUAAUUCAUUGACGUACAAGGAAAGCUAUGAAAAAUAUCAUCAUCUAGGCCAUGG